GAUAUCUGUUAUAGCCUUGUUUUCAAAGUAGGAACACGGAAUGCAGUGUUUAAAAAAGUGCACACAGUAACUAGACAUCUUAGCUACACUCAAUUCUUGCUAUGUUUUGGGUCAUAUGGAUGCAGUGGAAGGGUUGUCAGAGGCAAUCCAGUGCUUCCACUGUUACACCCACACCAUCCCAGCUCAGCCCUAGUUCCAUUUAGCAGCACUAAUGAUGGUAUCAGGAGGACAGCUCCCCCCCCCCAUCACACACGCUGCUACAGCUUUUAUCUAGGCUGAGCCCAUAUUGUUUAAUUGGUUGUUAUUAUUUAAAUUAAAUUUCUGACACACCCUUCCUUCCAAAUGAACACAGGGCAGCAAAGUAGCAAAGCAAUACAUUUACAAAUAAUUUAAAAACCCCACACACAUUUUAAAACAAUUAAAACUGUCUUAAUUAGUGCAAUAAAGGCUCAAAUUAGUAUUUGCUGCUCUAUGUCUGAUAGCUGCUUUGCUUUAAAAUUUGCCUCAAAUACUUAGGAAGUUAACACAGUUUUUACUGCCUCCCAUUUGGGUGGUACCAGUUGAUAUUUGAUGGUUCAGCUCCCCUUUAUUGCUAAGCCAAAGGCCAUUGCCAAUCAUUCAGGAGUACAAUAGGAAAGAAAACACAGAACGCUGCUCAAAAUAUUAUAAAUAUCACAAUGCGUUGCAAUAUCAGAUCUUUUCCAAUAAUAAAAAAACUAUUAAACUCAUUAGAGAAAUGAGUCAUAAUUAUAAAUGCUCAUUUAUAAUUCAUUCAGCACUACUAUCUGGAAUGCUUUACUCUACUUUAUUAGGAAGGAAAGGAAGCAGAUUUGCUGGGGAUAAGAAACCCCACUAACCUUACAACCUCCCCCAUUUUGUUCAAUAGUGCUGUUGUUUUCUGCUAUGGGUUCUAUGGAGACCAGGGGUGGAGGUUCAUUCACGGCUUCCCUCCUCAGAUCACCCUGUUCUUUUUGAGAUGACAGACAUGGGGGGAAAUAUAUACCUGAACCUUUUUUGAAUAUUAAUUCCCACAAUCACUCCUCAUCUGCAGGAAGGUAAGAAAACAGAAAGGUGGUGAGGUUGGAAGACAAGAACAUGAGAUAGCAUGGGAUGCUGGGUAAAGCACCGUUUUGGGGACAGCCUUGGAGUUGGUGGAAAUAACAGGGAGGGGAAGUGCCAUUUUACAGUUUGCCUCAGGUGCCAAAAUGUCUUGGACCAGCCCUUCCUGUCCCACAAACAAUGGAUCAUGGGAGAAAUCUCUCCCACAGUCCCAAACAGAAAUACUGUCUCUCUCACCAUUUUUUUCUGUUACCUUCUGACUCGUCUCUACCCUAGCUGACAUUUUGGUGGCAGCUUCUUUUUCAUAAUCCCAGACUACAUAGUCCCUGCCAACGUGCACAUCAAAGAAACUUGUCUGCCAGGCACUCCAUGAUAACGCCCAAUUUUGCCAAGAUCCUGUUUUAAUGAUCCAUGCAUGCACACACAAAUACACACAGUUGGAGAGAAGUCACAUGAGAAUUGAUUGCAUACAAUCAGUUGUCAUUGCAAAGAGCAGCUUGCUAAUUCAGAAGAGGUAGAUGACAGCAGCAAAAGUAAUGGGGAGGGGACUCACCUUCCCUUCUUUGUCUCAUGCCGUUGCUGCUUCUCUCUGUCUUCCCCAGUGCCUUUGAGACUUUAAGGGAGAAAGGGAAGGAACAAAUGCAAGACCUGGUGGAGGAGAUAUCUCUAAGUGCACAAAACAAUACAUUUAACAGCCUCAAUAUGUUUUGAUUAAAAUCUGUGUCAGGGAUACAGUAAAACAAUAAUGCUUUAUGUUCUCAAAUAACACUUUGAGAACACUUUCUGAUUACAGCACCCUGAAAAAGAUUUUUAUUGAAACGUAUUAAGUAUAAUAAAUUACUGUUUGGUGCACAUAGGGCUCCAUUUCUUCCCACUUUUCCCCUCAUAGUGAUUCUUCACCUUAAUGGCUAUAUUAUUUAGGCAUCUAUCACAAAAGAUUCCCACAGUCCAUCGAAUCCUAUAAAUUCAAGAAUGUGGCCAGAGGGAAAGAAAGUGUUUGGGGAUUAAAAAAACCAAAAAAGCAGCAAAAGCUAGAGUUUAAUGCAGUAAAAUGACACCAGUAUAUCUUCAUUACUUCCAUGGUUGCUCCUCUGCCCCAAAAUGUAUUAAAUAAAUACUCAAGAUGAACAAACAACAAAAACUUCCAAAAUUUAAACAGAAAAACAUUCACUCUGCAAAACUGGAGAUGUUUGUUGGAUUUUACGGCACCUCUUCCAUCUGUUAUAAAUUGGAUGCAAUACUUUUCUAAAAUGUUGUUUUUUCUAUUGUUCGUACAUGUCCUGCCUUCCCCCCUUGUUGUUGCUAAAGCUUUAUGCUUUUCCUUCAUUCAGUUCAUUCACUUCUCUUUAGAUGUUUGCAAUCUUUCAAGAGAGGAUACAUUAAUGUAAGAAUAAUAGACACUAGACAUAAUCCAGCACAGAAUUAGGCAUGACUAAACCUAUUGAAAUCAAUGGGCUUGAACACAUUCCCACUAUGUGCUGGGUUGUUCCCAUUGUAUAGCUGAACUGUCUGUUGCACACUAUAGGAUUUAGUUCUGUAACAGCUGUUUAAAAAUAGUCACACACUGUAGAAAAGGCAUUAAUAAACUUGCUGUAAGAGACUGGGCCUAGUAUUUGCAAACCCUAGAAUGCCUUAUCAGAAAAUUCUGGUUUGUAUUAUCUAUACAGACAAUGGAGAACCAUAUCCAUUGUUUUCUCCAUAGUAAGUUACAAUGCAGGUAGCAAUAUUUUGAAAUUAUUCCUCUGCAACUAACCAGAACAUUUUUUGCAGCUCAACUUCAAGGCUGAUGUUCAAUGAAGAGUUGGGGAGGGGGUGUUGCUACAGUCCAGUCCAGCCACUCUCACAUUCCAAAAUAAUACUUGUUAGUGUGUACAAGUUGUAUGCCACUGUUCCCCAGUAAUCAACUAAAAAUUUACCAGCUGUUUGA
Molecule: long non-coding RNA, 2986 nt
Organism: Podarcis raffonei (Aeolian wall lizard)
Lineage: Eukaryota; Metazoa; Chordata; Lepidosauria; Squamata; Lacertidae
Exons: 2
Source: RefSeq, a predicted model, not a curated record